This 466-nucleotide ribosomal RNA is filed under the name uncultured bacterium. RNAcentral describes it as "partial 16S ribosomal RNA". It matches the Rfam family "Bacterial small subunit ribosomal RNA", at positions 28 to 523 of the family's 1533-position model. The record is from RNAcentral.
GAUGAACGCUGGCGGCGUGCCUAACACAUGCAAGUCGAGUGAUCUCUUCGGAGAGAGCGGCGGACGGGUGAGUAACGCGUGGGUAACCUGCCCUGUACACACGGAUAACAUACCGAAAGGUAUACUAAUACGGGAUAAUAUAUGAAAGUCGCAUGGCUUUUGUAUCAAAGCUCCGGCGGUACAGGAUGGACCCGCGUCUGAUUAGCUAGUUGGUAAGGUAAUGGCUUACCAAGGCAACGAUCAGUAGCCGACCUGAGAGGGUGAUCGGCCACACUGGAACUGAGACACGGUCCAGACUCCUACGGGAGGCAGCAGUGGGGAAUAUUGCACAAUGGGCGAAAGCCUGAUGCAGCAACGCCGCGUGAGCGAUGAAGGCCUUCGGGUCGUAAAGCUCUGUCCUCAAGGAAGAUAAUGACGGUACUUGAGGAGGAAGCCCCGGCUAACUACGUGCCAGCCGCCGCCGUAA